This 647-nucleotide unclassified non-coding RNA is filed under the name Hevea brasiliensis (rubber tree). Lineage: Eukaryota; Viridiplantae; Streptophyta; Magnoliopsida; Malpighiales; Euphorbiaceae. The record is from RNAcentral.
GAAAAGUGUUUUCCUUCAUAACACAUUACCCUUCAACUAUGUACAUAUAGUGUAUUUCUAGUUUUCUUUAACUUGUAGUUCUACAGUGAAGCAUGUUUGGUGUUGUGUAGUUGUCUCAUUUCAUAUUGUCUUCAAUUCAUUACUUGUCCACUGAUCAAGCAACAAUUUAUGUACUUCAUUGCCAUCAUUAACAUCCACUUCAUAACAAAAAGGUCAUUAAUAAAAUAAAUGAUGAGCAUUUACAUCACUUCUACAAAAACAUUGAUAUCUCUUAUGCUUCGAUGAGAAUCAAUUUUCUUUCCUUGUAACAUAUAUGCCGAAUAUGAUGGCUCUUGCAUAUGGUAUCUAUUUGUCAUGUUUAAUUCUAUGCUAUUUUUCAAGUUCACAUUAUAUACAUGCAUGCUAUAUCCCUUGGUAUACAUGAUAUAUUUGUAACAGAAGGAUUACACCAUUGGCCAUAUAUGAUGGCUCUUAUAAAUAAAUAUUCUGCUGAUCCGAAAUCUGUAUGACACUGCUCCUGAAGAACUGCUGCUGCUUUAUAUUUCUUGCAUAGUUUAAUUGUCUAUUAGCAUUUUCUGUAGCAUAUAUCUGUGUUCUGUAUAGAGAAAUGGAAAGAUUUCGUAAUAUUUUUUUCCCCAAAACAUUUC